This 139-nucleotide non-coding RNA is filed under the name pig gut metagenome. RNAcentral describes it as "FMN riboswitch (RFN element)". It matches the Rfam family "FMN riboswitch aptamer (RFN element)". From Rfam's summary of the family: The RFN element is a highly conserved domain that is found frequently in the 5'-untranslated regions of prokaryotic mRNAs that encode for flavin mononucleotide (FMN) biosynthesis and transport proteins. The record is from RNAcentral.
UCUUCGGGGUGGGUGAAAUUCCCAAUCGACGGUAAAGAAGGAGAUAACUUCUGAGCCCGUGACCUGUAUAGUAUAACAACUAUAUGGCUGAUCUGGUUAAAUUCCAGAGCCGACAGUUAAAGUCUGGAUGGGAGAAGAU